GACGAACGCUGGCGGCGUGCUUAACACAUGCAAGUCGAACGGUGAUGCUCCAGCUUGCUGGAGUGGAUCAGUGGCGAACGGGUGAGUAACACGUGAGCAACCUGCCCCAGACUCUGGAAUAAGCGCUGGAAACGGCGUCUAAUACUGGAUACGAAACUGGCCCGCAUGGGCAUGGUUUGGAAAGUUUUUCGGUUUGGGAUGGGCUCGCGGCCUAUCAGCUUGUUGGUGAGGUAAUGGCUCACCAAGGCGACGACGGGUAGCCGGCCUGAGAGGGCGACCGGCCACACUGGGACUGAGACACGGCCCAGACUCCUACGGGAGGCAGCAGGGGGGAAUAUUGCACAAUGGGCGAAAGCCUGAUGCAGCGACGCCGCGUGAGGGAUGACGGCCUUCGGGUUGUAAACCUCUUUCAGCAGGGAAGAAGCGAAAGUGACGGUACCUGCAGAAGAAGCACCGGCUAACUACGUGC
This 469-nucleotide ribosomal RNA is filed under the name uncultured bacterium. RNAcentral describes it as "partial 16S ribosomal RNA". It matches the Rfam family "Bacterial small subunit ribosomal RNA", at positions 28 to 508 of the family's 1533-position model. The record is from RNAcentral.